UGGGGAAUAUUGCACAAUGGGCGCAAGCCUGAUGCAGCGAUGCCGCGUGCGGGAAGAAGGCCUUAGGGUUGUAAACCGCUUUCAGUAGGGAAGAAAAUGACGGUACCUACAGAAGAAGGUGCGGCCAACUACGUGCCAGCAGCCGCGGUGACACGUAGGCACCAAGCGUUGUCCGGAUUUAUUGGGCGUAAAGAGCUCGUAGGCGGUUUGGUAAGUCGGGUGUUAAAACUCUGGGCUCAACCCAGAGACGCCAUUCGAUACUGCUAUGACUUGAGUACGGUAGGGGAGUGGGGAAUUUCUAGUGUAGCGGUGAAAUGCGCAGAUAUUAGAAGGAACACCAGUGGCGAAGGCGCCACUCUGGGCCGUAACUGACGCUGAGGAGCGAAAGCAUGGGUAGCAAACA
RNAcentral lists this ribosomal RNA (403 nucleotides) under uncultured Ilumatobacter sp. Its description in RNAcentral is "bacterial SSU rRNA". It matches the Rfam family "Bacterial small subunit ribosomal RNA", at positions 355 to 774 of the family's 1533-position model. The record is from RNAcentral. Lineage: Bacteria; Bacillati; Actinomycetota; Acidimicrobiia; Acidimicrobiales; Ilumatobacteraceae.